AUCGCUUCUUGGCCUUUUGGCUAAGAUCAAGUGUAGUAUCUGUUCUUAUCAGUUUAAUAUUUAUCCAGAUGAGUUUUAGGGGAAUGGUUUAGGAGGGGACUGUUAUUCUGUGUCAAACCUGAAAGACCAGAUGAUUAGGAUGAAGCAAAAGUGUCAAAAGUAGGAUUUGGAAAGAUAAUGCUUGCAGCAGAGCUCAGAAAUGUGUUUGACUACACAUUUGAACUUCUCAAA
RNAcentral lists this small nuclear RNA (231 nucleotides) under Suricata suricatta (meerkat). RNAcentral's name for it is "U2 spliceosomal RNA (ENSSSUG00005021174.1)". The stretch from base 1 to 149 matches the Rfam family "U2 spliceosomal RNA". Rfam says of the family: U2 is a small nuclear RNA (snRNA) component of the spliceosome (involved in pre-mRNA splicing). Lineage: Eukaryota; Metazoa; Chordata; Mammalia; Carnivora; Herpestidae. The record is from Rfam by way of RNAcentral.